GCCGCUGUGAUGGAAUUGGCAGACGUAGCGGACUCAAAAUCCGCCGGUAGCGAUACCGUGCCGGUUCGACUCCGGCCAGCGGCACCA
RNAcentral lists this transfer RNA (87 nucleotides) under Clostridiales bacterium. RNAcentral's name for it is "tRNA-Leu". It matches the Rfam family "tRNA". From Rfam's summary of the family: Transfer RNA (tRNA) molecules are approximately 80 nucleotides in length. Their secondary structure includes four short double-helical elements and three loops (D, anti-codon, and T loops). Further hydrogen bonds mediate the characteristic L-shaped molecular structure. tRNAs have two regions of fundamental functional importance: the anti-codon, which is responsible for specific mRNA codon recognition, and the 3' end, to which the tRNAs corresponding amino acid is attached (by aminoacyl-tRNA synthetases). tRNAs cope with the degeneracy of the genetic code in two manners: having more than one tRNA (with a specific anti-codon) for a particular amino acid; and 'wobble' base-pairing, i.e. permitting non-standard base-pairing at the 3rd anti-codon position. RNAcentral also lists the same sequence under 6 other names. The record is from RNAcentral. Lineage: Bacteria; Bacillati; Bacillota; Clostridia; Eubacteriales.